This 525-nucleotide ribosomal RNA is filed under the name uncultured Rhodospirillales bacterium. Its description in RNAcentral is "bacterial SSU rRNA". It matches the Rfam family "Bacterial small subunit ribosomal RNA", at positions 355 to 897 of the family's 1533-position model. Lineage: Bacteria; Pseudomonadati; Pseudomonadota; Alphaproteobacteria; Rhodospirillales. The record is from RNAcentral.
UAGGGAAUAUUGGACAAUGGGCGAAAGCCUGAUCCAGCAAUGCCGCGUGAGUGAGGAAGGCCUUAGGGUUGUAAAGCUCUUUCGGCGAGGACGAUGAUGACGGUACCCGCAGAAGAAGCCCCGGCUAACUUCGUGCCAGCAGCCGCGGUAAUACGAAGGGGGCAAGCGUUGUUCGGAAUUACUGGGCGUAAAGGGCGCGUAGGCGGCGAUCUUUGUCAGGUGUGAAAGCCCCAGGCUCAACCUGGGAAUUGCACUUGGGACGGGAUUGCUUGAGUUCGGGAGAGGAGAGUGGAAUUCCCAGUGUAGAGGUGAAAUUCGUAGAUAUUGGGAAGAACACCGGUGGCGAAGGCGGCUCUCUGGACCGAUACUGACGCUGAGGCGCGAAAGCGUGGGGAGCAAACAGGAUUAGAUACCCUGGUAGUCCACGCCGUAAACGAUGUGUGCUAGACGUUGGGGAGCCUAGCUCUUCGGUGUCGCAGCUAACGCGGUAAGCACACCGCCUGGGGAGUACGGCCGCAAGGUUAA